This 482-nucleotide ribosomal RNA is filed under the name uncultured bacterium. Its description in RNAcentral is "partial 16S ribosomal RNA". It matches the Rfam family "Bacterial small subunit ribosomal RNA", at positions 30 to 507 of the family's 1533-position model. The record is from RNAcentral.
AUUGAACGCUGGCGGCAUGCCUUACACUUGCAAGUCGAACGGUAACGGGCCUUCGGGUGCCGACGGGUGGCGAACGGGUGAGUAAUACAUCGGAACGUGCCCGAUCGUGGGGGAUAACGAGGCGAAAGCUUUGCUAAUACCGCAUACGAUCUACGGAUGAAAGCAGGGGACCGCAAGGCCUUGCGCGGGCGGAGCGGCCGAUGGCAGAUUAGGUAGUUGGUGGGAUAAAAGCUUACCAAGCCGACGAUCUGUAGCUGGUCUGAGAGGAUGAUCAGCCACACUGGGACUGAGACACGGCCCAGACUCCUACGGGAGGCAGCAGUGGGGAAUUUUGGACAAUGGGCGCAAGCCUGAUCCAGCCAUGCCGCGUGCAGGAUGAAGGCCUUCGGGUUGUAAACUGCUUUUGUACGGAACGAAAAGCCUUCUUUUAAUACAGGAGGGUCAUGACGGUACCGUAAGAAUAAGCACCGGCUAACUACGUG